GUCAGACCCUGUUUAUUAAGGUAUAUUCUAUAUUUUUGAGUAAACCUAUUUUCUAUUUUUGAGUAAGCUUAUAUUACUUUAAAUUGUUGAACCCCUAUUUAAAGUGUACCUUUAAACUAUGUUUUUAUUAAGAUCACCUCUUUGGUAUAUGCUACUGGUGAAACAAAGAGAUGGGAACAAAGAUACCCCUGUCCUAUAGGCCUUGUUUAUGUCAAAACCCAGACCACUUCCCUAAUGCGUAGAGUACAUAAACAAUGAAUGACCAGUGGAUACAUUUACUGGUACUCCCUUUGUCUUGGGGAUAGGGAAUAGUGGGGUUGUUUGCCUGGUUUGGAAGAAAGAUUGGCUUUCUCGUUGAGAGCAAGUUUAGACUUCAAGGCAGAUAGACGUGUGAUGUAACUUCCCCCAGAAGUUACUAUGUCGCAGCUUUUUAAGACCUGCCUUGAUUUUGUUUCUUAACAGAGUUCCACCAUGGUUCCACCAUGGUUCCACUUCCAUUUCCCUCGGGACAAGAGUUGGGACUGCUGUCGUUGUUCAGACAACGCUCUUCGCCUGAUCGAUGUAUUUAGUGCUUACUGACGAACGACUCGUGUUUUAUCAUUUGUACUUUAUAUGAACAUCUAUUCUUUUCUUCUAUUCAUUGAUAUUUUUCUACUGUAUAGUGUAGUUUACUUUGCUCCUUUUCUAUCAUUUAUUGUACCUGUACGAUACAUUGUUAAGCUUUGCAUGUAGCUGUUUUUGUAAGAAUUGUUUGUUUGAAAUCGAAAUGCCAGUUGUCACACUGGGAAUUUAUUAUCGGUGUACCUUUGACACUGAAUAUUAAUAAAUACCUCUUUGGAAUUAUCAUUGGCACAAAA
Molecule: long non-coding RNA, 857 nt
Filed under: Strongylocentrotus purpuratus (purple sea urchin)
Lineage: Eukaryota; Metazoa; Echinodermata; Echinoidea; Camarodonta; Strongylocentrotidae
Description: uncharacterized LOC115920199
Source: RNAcentral